This 611-nucleotide ribosomal RNA is filed under the name uncultured bacterium. Its description in RNAcentral is "bacterial SSU rRNA". The stretch from base 1 to 516 matches the Rfam family "Bacterial small subunit ribosomal RNA", at positions 338 to 873 of the family's 1533-position model. The record is from RNAcentral.
CCUACGGGAGGCAGCAGUGGGGAAUCUUGCGCAAUGGGCGAAAGCCUGACGCAGCCAUGCCGCGUGAAUGAUGAAGGUCUUAGGAUUGUAAAAUUCUUUCACCGAGGACGAUAAUGACGGUACUCGGAGAAGAAGCCCCGGCUAACUUCGUGCCAGCAGCCGCGGUAAUACGAAGGGGGCUAGCGUUGCUCGGAAUUACUGGGCGUAAAGGGAGCGUAGGCGGAUAGUUUAGUCAGAGGUGAAAGCCCAGGGCUCAACCUUGGAAUUGCCUUUGAUACUGGCUAUCUUGAGUACGGAAGAGGUAUGUGGAACUCCGAGUGUAGAGGUGAAAUUCGUAGAUAUUCGGAAGAACACCAGUGGCGAAGGCGACAUACUGGUCCGUUACUGACGCUGAGGCUCGAAAGCGUGGGGAGCAAACAGGAUUAGAUACCCUGGUAGUCCACGCUGUAAACGAUGAGUGCUAGUUGUCGGCAUGCAUGCAUGUCGGUGACGCAGCUACGCAUAAGCGACUCCGCCGUCGGGGUAGGUACGGUCGGCGAAGUAGUUAAACGUUACGAAAGUAAGUUAGUUAGGCGUUGAGAGNGCGACGGACGACGACGAGGGAGGAGGAG